GACGAACGCUGGCGGCGUGCUUAACACAUGCAAGUCGAGCGAUGAAGUUCCUUCGGGAAACGGAUUAGCGGCGGACGGGUGAGUAACACGUGGGUAACCUGCCUCAUAGAGGGGAAUAGCCUUUCGAAAGGAAGAUUAAUACCGCAUAAGAUUGUAAUGCCGCAUGGCAUAGCAAUUAAAGGAGCAAUCCGCUAUGAGAUGGACCCGCGUCGCAUUAGCUAGUUGGUGAGGUAACGGCUCACCAAGGCGACGAUGCGUAGCCGACCUGAGAGGGUGAUCGGCCACAUUGGGACUGAGACACGGCCCAGACUCCUACGGGAGGCAGCAGUGGGGAAUAUUGCACAAUGGGGGAAACCCUGAUGCAGCAACGCCGCGUGAGUGAUGACGGUCUUCGGAUUGUAAAGCUCUGUCUUUAGGGACGAUAAUGACGGUACCUAAGGAGGAAGCCACGGCUAACUACGUG
This 463-nucleotide ribosomal RNA is filed under the name uncultured bacterium. RNAcentral's name for it is "bacterial SSU rRNA". It matches the Rfam family "Bacterial small subunit ribosomal RNA", at positions 28 to 507 of the family's 1533-position model. The record is from RNAcentral.